UGGCGGCCGCCGCGAUCUCGGCGUUCUUUACUGCCGUCGGCGGCGGCUUCUACGCAGCGUUCGUCUCCUACAUUGAUCCCGACAGCGUGAUGCAUUUCCGCUUCUCGCUGCUGAUGGCGCUGCCUGCGGUGCUCGGCNUGUCGGCUCGCUGUGGGGUCCGGCGAUCGGCGCGCUGAUCCUGAUUCCGCUGGCGGAACUGACACGCUCCUAUCUCGGCGGCUCAGGGUCCGGCCUUGACCUCGUGAUCUACGGCGGNUCAUGAUCGUCUCGCUGACACGGCCGGAAGGCAUUCUCAGCAUCAUCAAGCCACCGGCUGC
This 317-nucleotide unclassified non-coding RNA is filed under the name Hevea brasiliensis (rubber tree). Lineage: Eukaryota; Viridiplantae; Streptophyta; Magnoliopsida; Malpighiales; Euphorbiaceae. The record is from RNAcentral.